AUUGAACGCUGGCGGAAUGCUCUACACAUGCAAGUCGAACGGCAGCACGGGGGCAACCCUGGUGGCGAGUGGCGAACGGGUGAGUAAUACAUCGGAACGUGCCCGGUCGUGGGGGAUAACGUAGCGAAAGUUACGCUAAUACCGCAUACGGUCUGAGGAUGAAAGCGGGGGACCUUCGGGCCUCGCGCGAUCGGAGCGGCCGAUGUCAGAUUAGGUAGUUGGUGGGGUAAAGGCCUACCAAGCCGACGAUCUGUAGCUGGUCUGAGAGGACGACCAGCCACACUGGGACUGAGACACGGCCCAGACUCCUACGGGAGGCAGCAGUGGGGAAUUUUGGACAAUGGGCGCAAGCCUGAUCCAGCCAUUCCGCGUGCAGGACGAAGGCCUUCGGGUUGUAAACUGCUUUUGUAUGGAACGAAAAGGCUCUGGCUAAUACCUGGGGCUCAUGACGGUACCGUAAGAAUAAGCACCGGCUAACUACGUG
This 484-nucleotide ribosomal RNA is filed under the name uncultured bacterium. RNAcentral describes it as "partial 16S ribosomal RNA". It matches the Rfam family "Bacterial small subunit ribosomal RNA", at positions 30 to 507 of the family's 1533-position model. The record is from RNAcentral.